Non-coding RNA from Sodiomyces alkalinus F11, 82 nucleotides. Lineage: Eukaryota; Fungi; Ascomycota; Sordariomycetes; Glomerellales; Plectosphaerellaceae. The record is from the annotation of a RefSeq genome assembly.
UCCGAAUUGGUGUAGUGGUUAACAUUUGUCGCUCUCACUCGGUUGUACCGACAGGCCCGGGGUUCGAUUCCCCGAUUCGGAA